Molecule: transfer RNA, 75 nt
Filed under: Camelus bactrianus (Bactrian camel)
Lineage: Eukaryota; Metazoa; Chordata; Mammalia; Artiodactyla; Camelidae
Also listed under: 2 other names
Rfam family: tRNA
About the family: Transfer RNA (tRNA) molecules are approximately 80 nucleotides in length.
Source: Rfam by way of RNAcentral
GCAGGUAUAGCUCAGUGGCAAAGCACAAGCUUAGUAGCAUGCACAAGGUCCUGGGUUCAAUACCCAGUACCUACC